This 919-nucleotide long non-coding RNA is filed under the name Homo sapiens (human). RNAcentral describes it as "long non-coding RNA NONHSAT167971". Lineage: Eukaryota; Metazoa; Chordata; Mammalia; Primates; Hominidae. The record is from RNAcentral.
CCCAACCUCCCGGGCUAGGUUUAUCUCUGUCCUAAAGGCCAAGCCGGUGGCCCUGGGGAGCAGAAGGGAGCUCAGAGCUGCUGGAGAAGGUGGGGGGUAGAAAUAAUAAUAAUGUCAGAGAUAAUCAUCGCAGUUAACGCUCAGCGACUGGGCUGCUCCGCGGAGGCCGGCGGAGGCCUACAGAGGCUCCUGACUGGCAGAACUGGAGGUGUGGGUGUGGUUCCCUUUUCACCCCGGCUCUUAUGUUGCCAGUCUCCCCCCUACCACCAGGCAAAGCCCCCCUAAACUUAGGGUCUGGAACAAGGCCGAGCCAGCGAGGGCCUGCCAGGAGCUGCGCUGGAGCCUCUCGCUGCAUCCAGAGCUGGUUCUUGUUCUUUUCUCUCUCUUGGCCCACUGGGCCCACAGUGGUUAGGUGGCCGAGUGUGGUUUCCCGAAACUCUUUGGAGUCGCCUGGGUCUGCGUGCCCCUGGCCCCGUCCUCACCCCCGGGCUCGUCCCCCAGCCUCCGCCGGCCCGCCUGUGAAUGGUGGAUUUAAUGAGCGUUUGUGUGGCGUUGGCCGGCGGUUCUGAAGAUGCGCUGACCUGGAGGGAGGGCGCGAAAGGUCAGGCGCAUGCCGGGCCCAACUUGGGCUCCUCCCAGGCCCACGCUGCUCCGAUAUUGAUCCUGGGAGAAAGAUAAACAGAAAAGCUGGACAUUCAGUCAUGAAUACUAAUGAGCCAGGGUAGGGGUUUUAAUUGCUGUGGACUUCCUUUCUCCAGUUAAUCCUUAUUGCAAACUUCGCUGGAGUCAGCUUUCUCGGGCCUCCCGCCUCCUUGUAUUUUCCUGUGAAAUACCCAGGCGAAAGAGACCCGUGACAACUUGACUUUCUCCUCUUCGAGAGGCCCGUGUGAGCUCGAGAGCCCACAGCCCGUGUUUCCAG